UACGUAGGUGGCAAGCGUUGUCCGGAUUUACUGGGCGUAAAGAGCGCGCAGGCGGUCGUUCAAGUCGGAUGUGAAAGCCCCCGGCUCAACUGGGGAGGGUCAUUCGAUACUGAUCGACUCGAAGGCAGGAGAGGGAAGCGGAAUUCCCGGUGUAGUGGUGAAAUGCGUAGAUAUCGGGAGGAACACCAGUGGCGAAGGCGGCUUCCUGGCCUGUUCUUGACGCUGAGGCGCGAAAGCCAGGGGAGCAAACGGG
This 253-nucleotide ribosomal RNA is filed under the name uncultured bacterium. RNAcentral describes it as "partial 16S ribosomal RNA". It matches the Rfam family "Bacterial small subunit ribosomal RNA", at positions 524 to 776 of the family's 1533-position model. The record is from RNAcentral.